RNAcentral lists this ribosomal RNA (1662 nucleotides) under Triticum aestivum (bread wheat). RNAcentral's name for it is "partial small subunit ribosomal RNA". Lineage: Eukaryota; Viridiplantae; Streptophyta; Magnoliopsida; Poales; Poaceae. The record is from RNAcentral.
AUGAGUGAGCAAGAUUCAAAACUACUUUUCAGAAAAACUGCUCACUCUGAGGUUAGUUUCCCAAACUACUUAGAGGAAGAAGUAUUAAGGAAAUGCGCCGGCAUUCCACUGUUCAUAUCUGGUAUGGCUGACUGGUUGAGAGAACAAAAGGAAGAACAGUUGAAGCUUCCCACAAUGCUGAAACAGUUUGAACGAUCGUUGUCUCCUGCUUAUGAUGAUCUUCCGCACUGGUUGAAAGUUCAGUUGUUGUAUGUUGCCAUGUUUCCUCAGGGUUAUAUCUUUGCAAAAAGUAGUUUCACCAAGCGAUUGGAUGCCGAAAUGCUGACCUAUCCAUCUUGUACUGAAGAGGACUAUUUUGGGGAGCUCAUAGAUAGGAAUAUCAUCACCCGAGUGAAAAGCAGUAGCAAACAGUCUCGUCAAGCAGAGGAAGAGGGCUGCCACUGGCAAGUGAAUUACUUCAUGUUACAUUUCCUUGCUUCCAAAUCAGCUGCGAAUGGCUUUGUUUAUACCAGUGGUACACUGAAAAACUCAGGAGACAAUAAACCACGACGGUUGUCCCUCCACGAGCCUGAUCUGCAGCUUCCAUCACUGCUGGAAGAAAUGAAUUUAUCGUACACCCGUUCACUUGUGGUCUCUGGUGUAGUGAGCGGGAUCCCUCUUGAUAAGCUUAUAUUUUUGAAGGUGCUGGACCUUGAAGGUUGGUGUUGCUUCGAGGAGCAACACUGGUUGGCAAUAUGUAAACUGUUUCUGCUACGGUACCUGAGCCUGAGGAAGACACUGGUCAGAAAGCUCCCUCCCAAGAUUAAGGAUUUGUACAAACUAGAAACACUAGAUCUAAGCCACACACAGAUCACUGAGCUACCGUCACAAAUGUGCGAGCUUGCAGGGCUGAGGAUGUUGGACCUAAGAGGGACCCCAGUCAUGCGGCUGCCAAAACAAUUCCAGAAGAUGCGGCAGUUGCGACACCUUCUCCUUGGUGGCAAUGGAGUUGAUAACCCCAACACAACAGUGACACAAGUACCGGAGGAAAUCCGGUAUCUUUGUGACCUAGAUACACUUGCAGUUGAUUUGAGUGGAUGCUCUCCAAGCCUUUUAGAGGCUCUUGGUUCCAUAUGGAAACUAAGAGUGUUGGCCAUAAAUUGUUCUUUUCACCAGUCUACUGACAGAAAGUUCCAGGAAACCUUGUGUUCAUGCAUAGAGAAAUGGGAACAGCUCGAGGCUCUGACCAUCCACUGCGAACCCGGUUGUCACAUGGAGUUUUUAAGUUCUGAUAUCUUGGUUCAAACUCGUUGGCUAAUGAAAUUUAAGGUGACAGGUGGAAGAUUUCUCAACUUUCCCCGAUGGCUCAGUAAGCUUGAUUGUCUUGCUUUCAUCGAGAUCACUAUUGAAAAGAUACUGCAAGAUGAUCUAACUAUCCUUGGGAAAAUGCGGAGGUUGGAAUGCCUUGUGCUAGGCCUGCACUUGCUUCCAGAAGAAGCGGUAGUGAUCGAUGGGGAGCCUCUUUUCCUUGGGCUUCAGAGAUUGUCCGUCCGCUGGCGCGUUCCAUGGAUGACUUUCAUGAAAGGCGCUAUGCCGAUGCUAACACAUCUUGAACUAAAGAACAUCGGAGGAAGCCCGUUGAGUGAACAGUGCGUCUCUUCAGGUAUCAUCAACCUCCAGUAG